UAUGCACAUGCGCUAUACAUACCCUUAAAA
Molecule: non-coding RNA, 30 nt
Filed under: Mus musculus (house mouse)
Lineage: Eukaryota; Metazoa; Chordata; Mammalia; Rodentia; Muridae
Source: RNAcentral